This 578-nucleotide ribosomal RNA is filed under the name uncultured Pectobacterium sp. RNAcentral's name for it is "bacterial SSU rRNA". It matches the Rfam family "Bacterial small subunit ribosomal RNA", at positions 790 to 1368 of the family's 1533-position model. Lineage: Bacteria; Pseudomonadati; Pseudomonadota; Gammaproteobacteria; Enterobacterales; Pectobacteriaceae. The record is from RNAcentral.
GUAGUCCACGCCGUAAACGAUGUCGACUUGGAGGUUGUGCCCUUGAGGCGUGGCUUCCGGAGCUAACGCGUUAAGUCGACCGCCUGGGGAGUACGGCCGCAAGGUUAAAACUCAAAUGAAUUGACGGGGGCCCGCACAAGCGGUGGAGCAUGUGGUUUAAUUCGAUGCAACGCGAAGAACCUUACCUGGCCUUGACAUCCACGGAAUUUGGCAGAGAUGCCUUAGUGCCUUCGGGAACCGUGAGACAGGUGCUGCAUGGCUGUCGUCAGCUCGUGUUGUGAAAUGUUGGGUUAAGUCCCGCAACGAGCGCAACCCUUAUCCUUUGUUGCCUGCGAUUCGGUCGGGAACUCAAAGGAGACUGCCGGUGAUAAACCGGAGGAAGGUGGGGAUGACGUCAAGUCAUCAUGGCCCUUACGGCCAGGGCUACACACGUGCUACAAUGGCGCAUACAAAGAGAAGCGACCUCGCGAGAGCAAGCGGACCUCAUAAAGUGCGUCGUAGUCCGGAUUGGAGUCUGCAACUCGACUCCAUGAAGUCGGAAUCGCUAGUAAUCGUAGAUCAGAAUGCUACGGUGAAUA